Molecule: ribosomal RNA, 252 nt
Filed under: uncultured bacterium
Lineage: Bacteria
Description: partial 16S ribosomal RNA
Rfam family: Bacterial small subunit ribosomal RNA
Source: RNAcentral
CACGGGAAGGGCAAGCGUUAUUCGGCAUAACUGGGCGUAAAGGGUUCGCAGACUGUAAAGUAAGUUACUGGUAAAAUUUUUAAGCCUAACUUAAAAAAUGCUUUUAAUACUGCUUUACUUGAGUUUUAUACAGAAGAGUAGAAUUUUAUAUGUAAGGGUAAAAUCUGAAGAUAUAUAAAGGAACACCAACAGCGAAGGCAACUCUUUGGUAAAAACUGACGUUGAGGAACGAAAGUAUGGGGAGCAAACAGG